GUUAAUCAUGUGAAAUCUGGUUGGAAAAGUGUUUUUAUGGUAUGUUUGAUUUUUUUAUUUUUUAUACUUCUUAUGUUCUAUGUGCUUAUACUGGUCUUACUUUCAGAGAUUACCUUAAAUGAGAAUGGCCUUUUUGGUGAAAUAUUGAAUUAGAAUUUUGUAACUUUCUCAUCUAUACUGAAGAUUAAACUUGCUUGCAUGUUAAUAGGUUUUUACAAUUG
RNAcentral lists this long non-coding RNA (221 nucleotides) under Musa acuminata (dwarf banana). RNAcentral's name for it is "long non-coding RNA (MACU_LNC004928)". Lineage: Eukaryota; Viridiplantae; Streptophyta; Magnoliopsida; Zingiberales; Musaceae. The record is from RNAcentral.